UACGUAGGGGGCAAGCGUUGUCCGGAAUCAUUGGGCGUAAAGCGCGCGCAGGCGGUCCUUUAAGUCUGAUGUGAAAGCCCACGGCUCAACCGUGGAGGGUCAUUGGAAACUGGGGGACUUGAGUGCAGAAGAGGAAAGCGGAAUUCCACGUGUAGCGGUGAAAUGCGUAGAGAUGUGGAGGAACACCAGUGGCGAAGGCGGCUUUCUGGUCUGUAACUGACGCUGAGGCGCGAAAGCGUGGGGAGCAAACAGG
Molecule: ribosomal RNA, 253 nt
Filed under: uncultured bacterium
Lineage: Bacteria
Description: partial 16S ribosomal RNA
Rfam family: Bacterial small subunit ribosomal RNA
Source: RNAcentral